UCCGGUUUAACACCGGCAGUCUCCUUAGAGUUCUCAGCUUUACCUGCUAGUAACUAAGGACAAGGGUUGCGCUCGUUACGGGACUUAACCCAACAUCUCACAACACGAGCUGACGACAGCCAUGCAGCACCUGUCUCUGCGUUCCUUUCGGCACUCCAACCAUUACGUCAGAUUCGCAGGAUGUCAAGGGUAGGUAAGGUUCUUCGCGUUGCAUCGAAUUAAACCACAUGCUCCACCGCUUGUGCGGGCCCCCGUCAAUUCAUUUGAGUUUCAACCUUGCGGCCGUACUUCCCAGGCGGAGAACUUAUCGCGUUAGCUUCGAUACUCAUGGAUCGCUCCACAAACAUCUAGUUCUCAUCGUUUACAGCGUGGACUAC
This 377-nucleotide unclassified non-coding RNA is filed under the name uncultured Gammaproteobacteria bacterium. Its description in RNAcentral is "contains 16S-23S intergenic spacer region". The record is from RNAcentral. Lineage: Bacteria; Pseudomonadati; Pseudomonadota; Gammaproteobacteria.